UCUCGUUGAUCCUGCGAGAGAUUGCCGCUAUUAGGAUUCGAUUAAGCCAUGCAAGUCAGAGGGACUCGAAAGGGUCCCAGGCACAACGCUCAGUAACACGUUGGCAACCUAACCUUAAGUCUGGGAUAACCUUGGGAAACUGAGGACAAAACCGGAUGGGAGAUCAAUACUGGAAUGUUUUUUCUCCAAAAGGCAACGCUUAAGGAUGGGCCAGCGGCUGAUUAGGUAGUUGGCGAGGUAACGGCUCACCAAGCUGAUGAUCAGUACGGGCCGUGAGAGCGGGAACCCGGAGAAGGGCACUGAGAAAAGGGCCCUAGCCCCACGGGGUGCAGCAGGCGCGAAAACUUUACAAUGCACGCAAGUGUGAUAAGGGAAUCCUAAGUGCCUAUAUUUUGAUAUAGGCUUUUUUUCAAGAGUAAAUUUCUUGGAGAAUAAGUGGUGGGCAAGACCGGUGCCAGCCGCCGCGGUAACACCGGCGCCACAAGUCGCAAUCGUGUUUAUUGGGCCUAAAGCGUCCGUAGCCUGUCUGAUUAGUCUUCUGUGAAAUUGUCGGGCUCAACCUGGCAGCGUGCAGAAGAGACCAUCAGACUCGAAACCGGGAGGGGUCAGAGGUAUUUCAUGGGGAGCGGUAAAAUGCUAUAAUCCAUGAAGGACCACCUAUGGCGAAGGCAUCUGACUAGAACGGAUUUGACGGUGAGGGACGAAAGCCAGGGGAUCAAACCGGAUUAGAUACCCGAGUAGUCCUGGCUGUAAACUCUGCGAGCUAGGCGUUGCAUAUUCCACGUGAAUGUGCAGUGUCGAAAUGAAGAUGUUUAGCUCGCCGCCUGGGAAGUACGGCCGCAAGACUGAAACUUAAAGGAAUUGGCGGGGGAGCACUACAACGAGUGGAAUGUGCGGUUUAAUCCAAUUUAACGCGGAUAAUCUCACCAGAAGCGACGGCAGGAUGAAAGUCAGGUUAAAGGCCUUACUUAACGAGCCGAGAGGUAGUGCAUGGCCGUCGUCAGCUCGUGCUGUGAAGCGUCCUCUUAAGUGAGGCAACGAGCAAGACCUGUAUCUGCAAUUGCUACUGGGUUCUUUAGAAUGACCAAGCACAUUGCAGAGACUGCCCUGGAAACAGGGAGGAAGGUGCAGGCCACGGUAGGUCUGCAUGCUCCGAAUCUUCUGGGCUACACGCGCAUUACAAUGGUAUGGACAAUGGGAUACAACUCCGAAAGGAGAAGUCAAACCUCGAAACCAUGCCUUAGUUCGGAUUGAGGGCUGUAACUCGCCCUCAUGAAGCUGGAAUUCGUAGUAAUCGGAAUUCAAAAUGUUCCGGUGAAUACGUCCCUGCUCCUUGCACACACCGCCCGUCAAACCACUCGAGCAGGACUCAGAUGAGUUUUAGUCUAUUAAUUAAAACGAAUCUAAGUUCAGUGAGAUGGGUUAAGUCGUCACAAGGUA
This 1440-nucleotide ribosomal RNA is filed under the name metagenome. Its description in RNAcentral is "bacterial SSU rRNA". It matches the Rfam family "Archaeal small subunit ribosomal RNA". The record is from RNAcentral.